RNAcentral lists this transfer RNA (71 nucleotides) under Methanobrevibacter millerae. RNAcentral describes it as "tRNA_Asp_GTC". It matches the Rfam family "tRNA". Rfam says of the family: Transfer RNA (tRNA) molecules are approximately 80 nucleotides in length. Their secondary structure includes four short double-helical elements and three loops (D, anti-codon, and T loops). Further hydrogen bonds mediate the characteristic L-shaped molecular structure. tRNAs have two regions of fundamental functional importance: the anti-codon, which is responsible for specific mRNA codon recognition, and the 3' end, to which the tRNAs corresponding amino acid is attached (by aminoacyl-tRNA synthetases). tRNAs cope with the degeneracy of the genetic code in two manners: having more than one tRNA (with a specific anti-codon) for a particular amino acid; and 'wobble' base-pairing, i.e. permitting non-standard base-pairing at the 3rd anti-codon position. The record is from RNAcentral. Lineage: Archaea; Methanobacteriati; Methanobacteriota; Methanobacteria; Methanobacteriales; Methanobacteriaceae.
GGUAUGGUAGUAUAGUGGCAGUAUGUUGGGUUGUCACCCCUUCGAUUCGGGUUCAAUUCCCGGCCAUACCG